UCUUAAUUAGGAACUGGAAUGAAUGGUUGGAUGAAGGAGAAACUGUCUUAUAUUGAUUAUUUAGAAUUUUAUUUUUAAGUUAAAAAGCUUAAAUUUUAGUUAAAGACGAGAAGACCCUUUAGAGUUUUAUAAUAAUAUAUUUUGGAUUUUUAGGAAUAUAUUAAUCAAUAAUUUAAUUAUUAUUUUGUUGGGGUGAUGGAAAAAUUUAAAAAACUUUUUUUUACAAUUAACACAUUUAAGUGAUUUAUUGAUCCAUUGUUAAUGAUCAUAAGUUUAAAUUACCUAAGGGAUAACAGCGUGAUCUUUAUGGAGAGUUCUUAUCGAUAUAAGGGUUUGCGACCUCGAUGUUGGAUUAAAAUUUAUUUUUGGUGCAAAAGCUGAAUAAUUAGGUCUGUUCGACCUUUAAAAUUUUACAUGAUCUGAGUUUAAACCGGUGUGAGCCAGGUUGGUUUCUAUCUUGAUUAAUUAUUGAUUAUUCUAGUACGAAAGGACCGAAUUUUUGUAAUACUUGUUUUUAUUUGAAUAUUAAUGUUACUUUGGCAGAUUAGUGCUUUAAAUUUAGAAUUUAACUAUGUAUUUUUUAAUACAAGUA
RNAcentral lists this ribosomal RNA (592 nucleotides) under Berosus asymmetricus. Its description in RNAcentral is "partial 16S ribosomal RNA". The stretch from base 75 to 466 matches the Rfam family "Bacterial large subunit ribosomal RNA", at positions 2049 to 2651 of the family's 2925-position model. The record is from RNAcentral. Lineage: Eukaryota; Metazoa; Arthropoda; Insecta; Coleoptera; Hydrophilidae.